GCCUCAAUAGCUCAGUUGGUAGAGCACCCGCCUUGUAAGCGGGCGGUCGCCGGUUCGAGUCCGGUUCGAGGCUCCA
RNAcentral lists this transfer RNA (76 nucleotides) under bacterium. RNAcentral's name for it is "tRNA-Thr". It matches the Rfam family "tRNA". Rfam says of the family: Transfer RNA (tRNA) molecules are approximately 80 nucleotides in length. Their secondary structure includes four short double-helical elements and three loops (D, anti-codon, and T loops). Further hydrogen bonds mediate the characteristic L-shaped molecular structure. tRNAs have two regions of fundamental functional importance: the anti-codon, which is responsible for specific mRNA codon recognition, and the 3' end, to which the tRNAs corresponding amino acid is attached (by aminoacyl-tRNA synthetases). tRNAs cope with the degeneracy of the genetic code in two manners: having more than one tRNA (with a specific anti-codon) for a particular amino acid; and 'wobble' base-pairing, i.e. permitting non-standard base-pairing at the 3rd anti-codon position. The record is from RNAcentral.